Fukomys damarensis (Damara mole-rat) is the source of this 558-nucleotide long non-coding RNA. RefSeq lists it as uncharacterized. NCBI's taxonomy places the organism in Eukaryota, Metazoa, Chordata, Mammalia, Rodentia, Bathyergidae. The record is from RefSeq and is a predicted model, not a curated record. The transcript has 4 exons.
UGAGGAAGCAAGAUGGUUGUCACAAUUGAUCAAUCACCAAUGGAAAGACAGUUCUUUCCCUGGGGAAUGUUCCAUGACCAGUGCUGGAUUUACACAGAAUGGAAAAGCAGGACUGACUUCUCUAUGACCUAAACGAAGAGAGAGAAAGAAGAACAUGAUUCCUUGGGCAAAAUCUCCUUCCCCUCCAUUCCAGUAUAGGAACUGACUUCUUGUUGCCAUUCAAUCAGGAUCAGACAACAGCAACAACAUCUCCUGGGAAGUACAUCCAUCAAGGGACAGAAAACACAGCCCAGCCUAAAAUAUCAGCCCUCAGAGAGAGAACUAGGCAGUGUACAACAAGAAAACAUUUUCAUCUGUGGACUAACUUCAAGGACAACCGCCUGGAGAAAGUCACUUCAAUCACUUUGCGGCUACUCCGCUGAGGACUUUUGAAAUGCCCCGUGCCUAUGACAACAAACCCUCAGCAGACAGGGCAAAGAACCUGCGGCUGUAUCCACAUCACACCUAACACCCGGGUCAGAGCUAGAACCACUAGGCCAAUGCCUCGAUUUUUCAAAC